UACGGGGGGAGCAAGCGUUGUUCGGAUUUACUGGGCGUAAAGGGCGCGUAGGCGGCGUGGUAAGUCACUUGUGAAAUCUCCGAGCUUAACUCGGAACGGUCAAGUGAUACUGCUGUGCUAGAGUGCGGAAGGGGCAACUGGAAUUCUUGGUGUAGCGGUGAAAUGCGUAGAUAUCAAGAGGAACACCUGCGGCGAAGGCGGGUUGCUGGGCCGACACUGACGCUGAGGCGCGAAAGCUAGGGGAGCGAACGGG
This 253-nucleotide ribosomal RNA is filed under the name uncultured bacterium. RNAcentral describes it as "partial 16S ribosomal RNA". It matches the Rfam family "Bacterial small subunit ribosomal RNA", at positions 524 to 776 of the family's 1533-position model. The record is from RNAcentral.